GAUGAAGAACGCAGUGAAAUGCGAUACGUAAUGUGAAUUGCAGAAUUCAGUGAAUCAUCGAGUCUUUGAACGCACAUUGCGCCACCUGGUAUUCCGGGGGGCAUGCCUGUCCGAGCGUCAUUGCUGCCCUCAAGCACGGCUUGUGUGUUGGGCCUCCGUCCUCCUCCCGGGGGACGGGCCCGAAAGGCAGCGGCGGCACCGCGUCCGGUCCUCGAGCGUAUGGGGCUUCGUCACCCGCUCUUGUAGGCCCGGCCGGCGCUUGCCGACACAUCAAUCUUUUUUCCAGGUUGACCUCGGAUCAGGUAGGGAUACCCGCUGAACUUAAGCAUAUCAAUAAGCGGAGGA
This 345-nucleotide unclassified non-coding RNA is filed under the name soil metagenome. Its description in RNAcentral is "partial contains 5.8S ribosomal RNA, internal transcribed spacer 2, and large subunit ribosomal RNA". The stretch from base 1 to 120 matches the Rfam family "5.8S ribosomal RNA", at positions 35 to 154 of the family's 154-position model. The record is from RNAcentral.